This 292-nucleotide long non-coding RNA is filed under the name Ananas comosus (pineapple). Its description in RNAcentral is "long non-coding RNA (ACOM_LNC013111)". Lineage: Eukaryota; Viridiplantae; Streptophyta; Magnoliopsida; Poales; Bromeliaceae. The record is from RNAcentral.
GCGAUCAUACAUUUACAUAAUAAGUUUAAAUUUUAAAUCUGAAAAUUUUAUAACUUAACUUUUAAAAUUUAAAAUAUCAAAUUUAAUGUUUAAACUAAAAAUAAAAUAUAAAUUUAGCAUUUUAAAAUCUCAAAUUUAAAAUUUAAAAUUUAAAAUUUAAAAUUUAAAACUUAAAUUUUAAAUUUUGAAUUUACAAUUGAAUCUCAAAUUAAAACAAUUUUAAAAUUUGAAGAGAAAAUUAAAAUUUAAAUUCAAAAUCUAAAUUUAGUUUUGAUUUUGCCGGAUUCAGAUU